GGAGCCUGAGAAAGGGAGGAGAGACAGAAGGAACCGGCGACAGUGGUCUCAGGGCCGCUCCGGGGGGCCUCAAGAACCGGAGGCAGCCCCGGAGGCUGCCGCGGGCGGACACGCCAGAGGAGGAGGCCGGGGAAUGGCCGCGGUGUGGCAGCAAGUCUUAGCAGUGGACGCGAGGUGAGGCGUGGGGUCAACGCCCAUGGGAGCAGAACUUACUGUGGUGCAUGCGCAAUGGCGAUAAGUGAGGCUGGGCGGAGAACUUGCCUUAUGCGGCUGCGUGGGCAUGCCGGAGGUGAGCAUGCGCAGUAGCGGGGGCGGGCACGCCCGCGGUGAGUUGGCUGGGCCGGAGAGGAUUCUAAACAGCAAGCUGGGAAAAUGUGGUCAGAUGUGGGCAUGCGCAAAGCGGCUACCUGUGAGAGGGAGGUGGGGCUCA
This 430-nucleotide small RNA is filed under the name Pan troglodytes (chimpanzee). RNAcentral's name for it is "retained intron". The record is from RNAcentral. Lineage: Eukaryota; Metazoa; Chordata; Mammalia; Primates; Hominidae.